Long non-coding RNA from Oncorhynchus tshawytscha (Chinook salmon), 925 nucleotides. NCBI's taxonomy places the organism in Eukaryota, Metazoa, Chordata, Actinopteri, Salmoniformes, Salmonidae. The record is from Ensembl.
GAGUGUAGAGGCGGCAGGUAGCCUAGUGGUUAGAGUGGAGGGGUGGCAGGGUAGCCUAGUGGUUAGAGUGGCGGGGCGGCAGCGUAGCCUAGUGGUUAGAGUGUAGGGGUGGCAGGUAGCCUAGUGGUUAGAGUGGAGGGGUGGCAGGGUAGCCUAGUGGUUAGAGUGGAGGGGUGGCAGGGUAGCCUAGUGGUUAGAGUGGAGGGGUGGCAGGGUAGCCUAGUGGUUAGAGUGGAGGGGCGGCAGGGUAGCCUAGUGGUUAGAGUGGAGGGGCGGCAGGGUAGCCUAGUGGUUAGAGUGGAGGGGCGGCAGGGUAGCCUAGUGGUUAGAGUGGAGGGGUGGCAGGGUAGCCUAGUGGUUAGAGUGGAGGGGCGGCAGCGUAACCUAGUGGUUAGAGUGUAGGGGCGGCAGCGUAGCCUAGUGGUUAGAGUGGAGGGGUGGCAGGGUAGCCUAGUGGUUAGAGCGUAGGGGCGGCAGGGUAGCCUAGUGGUUAGAGUGGCGGGGCGGCAGCGUAGCCUAGUGGUUAGAGUGUAGGGGCGGCAGCGUAGCCUAGUGGUUAGAGUGUUGGACUAGUAACCGGAAGGUUGCAAGUUCAAACCCCCGAGCUGACAAGGUACAAAUCUGUCACUCUGCCCCUGAACAGGCAGUUAAACCCACUGUUCCUAGGCCGUCAUUGAAAAUAAGAAUUUGUUCUUAACUGACUUGCCUAGUUAAAUAAAGGUUAAAAAAAAACUUUUUUUAUAUUUAAAAAAAGACAAAAAUAUCUCAACAGGAAGGCCUAAGGUGAGUUUUAAAACAAACACAACUUCUUUUUUAUUUUUGGUGAGAAAUCUCACUACUUAAAUGGUUAUUUAUUCUAUAAUCAUCUCUAUAAGAAUGAAUCUAAUCCAAGGUUGUGUCUGUGUGUAUAAGCACAGUUUGGACU